This is a long non-coding RNA of Symphalangus syndactylus (siamang), 546 nucleotides long. RefSeq lists it as uncharacterized. NCBI's taxonomy places the organism in Eukaryota, Metazoa, Chordata, Mammalia, Primates, Hylobatidae. The record is from RefSeq and is a predicted model, not a curated record.
ACUAUUGCCCUUCUUGUCCCUCCACCCCCAACCACUGAACUGGCAGGUCCUGGAGGCAUGAACUCUUUCUCACUGUGGCCACUCCAGCAUUUAGCUCAGAGCAUCUGCUCUCUGUGCAGGAGAACAAGCUUAUGAUACUAUAGAAGAAUGAGAGAUCACCUGGGCAAAUAUAAGACAUUUUAGAUGAUCCAUAAUAGAAUUACUAACUUCCAGUCUGUCUGCCAGCUCCACAAAGACACAAGAGCAAAGCCAGGUCCCCAAGGGAAGUAUACAUACAAUACAACUAAAACACAACAAAGAAGCAUUCUACUCUGCGUUUACCAUGCACUCUAAAGUGGAAUGUCAAGACACUAAGCGAAAGCAUACUUUAUUUUAAAUGUUAGAUAUGCUGCUAUGUUUUGUACAAUCAAAUACUUAUGAGACCUGUUCUCUCCAUUUGUCCUAGUGAGGCGGGAAAUUAAAGAAAAAUAAAAUUAAAAAGAAAGAGAAAUAAGUUUUCCCAUAUUAGGCUAACUUGUCCCAGAGGCAGCAACAGGCACAGCCUAG